Molecule: ribosomal RNA, 776 nt
Filed under: uncultured bacterium
Lineage: Bacteria
Description: bacterial SSU rRNA
Rfam family: Bacterial small subunit ribosomal RNA
Source: RNAcentral
ACUUCUUUAUCACCGAGUGCUUGCACUCACCGGUAAAUGGUUGAGUGGCGAACGGGUGAGUAACACGUGGGCAACCUGCCCAAAAGAGGGGGAUAACACUUGGAAACAGGUGCUAAUACCGCAUAACCAUAGUUACCGCAUGGUAGCUAUGUAAAAGGUGGCUAUGCUACCGCUUUUGGAUGGGCCCGCGGCGCAUUAGCUAGUUGGUGGGGUAAAGGCUUACCAAGGCAAUGAUGCGUAGCCGAACUGAGAGGUUGAUCGGCCACAUUGGGACUGAGACACGGCCCAAACUCCUACGGGAGGCAGCAGUAGGGAAUCUUCCACAAUGGGCGAAAGCCUGAUGGAGCAACGCCGCGUGGGUGAAGAAGGUCUUCGGAUCGUAAAACCCUGUUGUUAGAGAAGAAAGUGCGUGAGAGUAACUGUUCACGUUUCGACGGUAUCUAACCAGAAAGCCACGGCUAACUACGUGCCAGCAGCCGCGGUAAUACGUAGGUGGCAAGCGUUAUCCGGAUUUAUUGGGCGUAAAGGGAACGCAGGCGGUCUUUUAAGUCUGAUGUGAAAGCCUUCGGCUUAACCGGAGUAGUGCAUUGGAAACUGGGAGACUUGAGUGCAGAAGAGGAGAGUGGAACUCCAUGUGUAGCGGUGAAAUGCGUAGAUAUAUGGAAGAACACCAGUGGCGAAAGCGGCUCUCUGGUCUGUAGCUGACGCUGAGGUUCGAAAGCGUGGGUAGCAAACAGGAUUAGAUACCCUGGUAGUCCACGCCGUAAACGAUGAAU